UACAGAGGCGGCAAGCGUUGUUCGGAAUUACUGGGCGUAAAGGGCGCGUAGGCGGCCCGUCAAGUCCCGUGUGAAAGCCCCCGGCUCAACCGGGGAACGGCGCGGGAAACUAGCAGGCUUGAGUUCGGGAGAGGGAAGCGGAAUUCCGGGUGUAGCGGUGAAAUGCGCAGAUAUCCGGAGGAACACCUGAGGCGAAGGCGGGUUGCUAGGCUGACACUGACGCUGAAGCGCGAAAGCUAGGGUAGCAAACGGG
This 253-nucleotide ribosomal RNA is filed under the name uncultured bacterium. RNAcentral's name for it is "partial 16S ribosomal RNA". It matches the Rfam family "Bacterial small subunit ribosomal RNA", at positions 524 to 776 of the family's 1533-position model. The record is from RNAcentral.